Molecule: transfer RNA, 68 nt
Filed under: Paralichthys dentatus (summer flounder)
Lineage: Eukaryota; Metazoa; Chordata; Actinopteri; Pleuronectiformes; Paralichthyidae
Description: tRNA-Tyr
Rfam family: tRNA
About the family: Transfer RNA (tRNA) molecules are approximately 80 nucleotides in length. Their secondary structure includes four short double-helical elements and three loops (D, anti-codon, and T loops). Further hydrogen bonds mediate the characteristic L-shaped molecular structure. tRNAs have two regions of fundamental functional importance: the anti-codon, which is responsible for specific mRNA codon recognition, and the 3' end, to which the tRNAs corresponding amino acid is attached (by aminoacyl-tRNA synthetases). tRNAs cope with the degeneracy of the genetic code in two manners: having more than one tRNA (with a specific anti-codon) for a particular amino acid; and 'wobble' base-pairing, i.e. permitting non-standard base-pairing at the 3rd anti-codon position.
Source: RNAcentral
GGUAGGAUGGCUGAGCCAAGCGGUGGAUUGUAGCCCCAUAGACAGAGGUUUGAGUCCUCUUCUUACCA